This 110-nucleotide ribosomal RNA is filed under the name Phycisphaerales bacterium. Lineage: Bacteria; Pseudomonadati; Planctomycetota; Phycisphaerae; Phycisphaerales. The record is from RNAcentral.
UCUGGUGCUCUUACGUCAGAGGCAACACAGCUUCCCAUUCCGAACAGCACCGUAAAGCUCUGACGGCCGAUGGUAGUGCCCACAGGUGCGAGAGUAGGUUGGUGCCAGAU